Long non-coding RNA from Vigna angularis (adzuki bean), 501 nucleotides. RefSeq lists it as uncharacterized. The transcript has 3 exons. The record is from RefSeq and is a predicted model, not a curated record. NCBI's taxonomy places the organism in Eukaryota, Viridiplantae, Streptophyta, Magnoliopsida, Fabales, Fabaceae.
GAUUGAAGGACGCUCGGCGUAGGAGUUCCAGAGAGAACGUUCGACUGGUGAAGCUGUGGAUUAACGAGCGCUUGUUAUUGGAAUUUGAGUAGAGAAUCUGUGAACGUUCGUCAUUUCCGGAGGGAGAUGAGCGUUUGGAAGAAGCAUUGAAUGAAGAGAGCCUGGUUGAUGUUGAAGUGAAGAUCGAGCAGUGAGAUCGCUCGGCCAGUAUUGUAUUUAGUUGAAUUGAGUGGUCGUUCGACCAUCUCUUGUUUUCUUUUGAGUUAAUUCGACCGUUCAGUAAUUAUCCUGUGUAAACCGUUCGGUCAGGUUUCUUGUACGUUUAUCUUAAAUUUGUAAAACUCUUAUGUGUGGCGUGCGACUUUUGCACAUUCGUCCGUUAUGUUGGAUUUGUACUCAAGGACGUUCGUCCUUGAGCGUUCGUUCGGGUUUUAUUUUGUUUUUAGUUGGAAAACUGUAUUGAAAUAUUAUUAAAUGUGAUUUUCUGAUUUUAUGGUGUUA